CCUACGGGAGGCUGCAGUGGGGGAUAUUGCACAAUGGGGGAAACCCUGAUGCAGCGACGCCGCGUGGGCGAAGAAGUAUUUCGGUAUGUAAAGCCCUAUCAGCAGGGAAGAAGAAAGGACGGUACCUGAGUAAGAAGCACCGGCUAAAUACGGGCCAGCAGCCGCGGUAAUACGUCUGGUGCAAGCGUUCUCCGGAUUUACUGGGUGGAAAGGGAGCGCAGGCGGCACGGCAAGCCUGAUGUGAAAGCCCGCGGCCCAACCGCGGGACGGCCUUGGGAACUCCCGGGCUGGAGUGCCGGAGAGGUCGGCGGACUUCCUAGUGUAGCGGUGACAUGCGUCGAUCUUAG
RNAcentral lists this ribosomal RNA (347 nucleotides) under uncultured bacterium. Its description in RNAcentral is "partial 16S ribosomal RNA". It matches the Rfam family "Bacterial small subunit ribosomal RNA", at positions 338 to 700 of the family's 1533-position model. The record is from RNAcentral.